Ruditapes philippinarum (Manila clam) is the source of this 1396-nucleotide long non-coding RNA. RefSeq lists it as uncharacterized. NCBI's taxonomy places the organism in Eukaryota, Metazoa, Mollusca, Bivalvia, Venerida, Veneridae. The record is from RefSeq and is a predicted model, not a curated record. The transcript is spliced from 3 exons.
UUGACCUUUGACCUAGUGACCCCAAAAACAAUAGGGGACAUCUACUAAAUAUGGUCAAUCAUUAUGUGAAAUAUGUUGACUUUGUGAUGAAUACUUUUCAAGAUUAUCAGCGAAAACUAUGCAGACAUUUAAGGCCCCUGUGACCUUGACCUUUGACCUAGUGACCCCAAUAUCAAUAGGGGUAAUUUUCUAGUUAUGAACAAUCACAAUGUGAAAUAUGAAGACUUUGUGAUAAAUAAUUUUCAAAAUAAUCAGCGGAAACCAUGUAGUCUACCGACGGACAGACCGACAGACAGACCGACAUUCGCAAAACAAUAUACCCUCUCUUCUUCGAAGGGGGGGGGGGGGAUAGUAACAACGACAGUGACCUACAACAUCCGAGAAUGGAUUCCGGGUCAUCCGAUUCACGGUCCUACGAUCUACCUUUUGAGCUAAUCACGGGUCACCAACGAUUGGAAUUCCGUUGAAGCUGGAGACCCUGCUAUGUUUCACCACGAUGAAGGUUGUAACAUGAAAGUAUGCUUUUGUCGAAAAUAUGAAUAAAUUUUUAUUUCUACAUUCUUGAACUUUUUUAUUAAAUACACAGUACAAAUGACAGUGUAUUUUAUUUGUUUUAUGCCAGGUACAAGGGCUAUGGCUUGUCAAUGAUGGUAGCGACUUAAUGUGGAAUACUCAGUAGUGCAAAUUACGCUCACCAUGUCCGGAAAUGGAAGGAAUUUCAUAGACAAGCAAACUUGGCACACAAACCUUAUCCGGUCUUUGGGUUAUUAGAUUAAAACUUAAAAUUUAAAUGAGCUAUAACAUGUACUUAAUGUCUGAUUAUUCUAAAACAACAGCAAACAUCGCUCGAAGCAAGUUAAAAUACAAGUAUUCAUUAACUUUGAUUGUUUUACUAUACCGAUGUUUUAUUUUAAAGAUAUAUUUAAUAUUGAAACAGAUACUCCAAAUUCCAACCAUCAUUUAUAAGCCUUCCAACGAAAUCAUCAAUCGUUAUUUUGGCUUCGACAUAUCACACCACACGGUGUCUGUCCUUGCCGUGUUGAUACAAAGGUCAAAUUCUCAAUUCAGGGCCAGUGCUUUGUUGCAGCAGAUCCAGAAGCGUUUGCACCUGGGUUUGCAGACAGACUAAGUGACUAAGUGAUCUCAGGCAACAUUUUAGGAAUUUCGAGACAGCAGAUGGUCAAUCAGAGGUGUUGGUAGCCGGUGAUUCAGAGAAAAUACACAUGGAAAAAUGUGACAAUCAAGGUGGAAUCUGGUACCAUCCAAACCAAAUUAAAAAUGUCAAUGAUAUAGCUGCGUCAUUACAAAUUGAACCUAUGAAUUCGUUGUAGAAGGCUGAACGCAACUUUUGGAUCACCGUCAAACGGACACACUGUCAAAACAUUUUAAUUAUGUG